UGGCGGACGGGUGAGUAAUGUCUGGGAAACUGCCCGAUGGAGGGGGAUAACUACUGGAAACGGUAGCUAAUACCGCAUAACGUCGCAAGACCAAAGAGGGGACCUUCGGGCCUCUUGCCAUCGGAUGUGCCCAGAUAGGAUUAGCUAGUAGGUGGGGUAACGGCUCACCUAGGCGACGAUCCCUAGCUGGUCUGAGAGGAUGACCAGCCACACUGGAACUGAGACACGGUCCAG
RNAcentral lists this ribosomal RNA (234 nucleotides) under uncultured bacterium. RNAcentral describes it as "partial 16S ribosomal RNA". It matches the Rfam family "Bacterial small subunit ribosomal RNA", at positions 96 to 334 of the family's 1533-position model. The record is from RNAcentral.